UACGGAGGAGGCAAGCGUUAUCCGGAAUUAUUGGGCGUAAAGCGUCCGUAGGUGGUUCACCCAGUCUGCUGUCAAAGGGUGGGGCUUAACCUCAUAAAGGCAGUGGAAACUGGUGAGCUAGAGUGCGGUAGGGGUAAGGGGAAUUCCCAGUGUAGCGGUGAAAUGCGUAGAGAUUGGGAAGAACAUCGGCGGCGAAAGCGCCUUACUGGGCCUGCACUGACACUGAGGGACGAAAGCUAGGGGAGCGAAAGGG
RNAcentral lists this ribosomal RNA (253 nucleotides) under uncultured bacterium. Its description in RNAcentral is "partial 16S ribosomal RNA". It matches the Rfam family "Bacterial small subunit ribosomal RNA", at positions 524 to 776 of the family's 1533-position model. The record is from RNAcentral.